CUAAGUUUUAAAUUUUCCGUUUUAGUUUUACUGUGGAAACACACAGACAGUGCCCAGUACGAAAAUCUUACCUGAGCCUAUCCCAGCAUGCAUUGGGCGCGAGGCAGGAAUACACCUUAGACAGGUUGCCAAUCCAUCGCAGGGCCCACACACCAUCUCCUCUCACAGUCAUCCUCGAGGGUCAAUUUUAGAGUCUCCAGUUAGCCCACCUGCAUGUCUUUGGACUGUGGGCGAUAAUCGGAUUACCUGCCGGAAACCCACGCGGACCUGAGGACACCACGCAAACUCUACACAGAAGACCUUCGUCGGGAUUCAAAACCGACUCACCCAGCAGCAGUCACAGGCUCAGCAUCUUCAUCUUCAUCUUCAUCUGCAGCCAUAUGGCCCCUUCCAGCCAGAACCCUUAAUGAGUGACCAGGAGAAAACUGAGCGAAGAUCUUUGCUCUGGGAGAGGAACCCCAGGAGAGAAGCUUUGUUAUGAAUCCAGCUGCCGACUCCACAGGAGCAGAACAUUUCACCCGUCCAUGCCUCAGGGACGUGUCUCCACUCAAGGUAAAGGAGAAGGCUGCUGACGUGACCUUUGACCUUUGACCCUGCAUAUCUCGCUCGGCUGUCAGCAUCACAGAGACUUCUGUGUAUUAAGGGGAAGAGGCAGAAGCUCUCUUUUGAGGCCACACAUUCAUUAGAAUCAGUUUCUUUCAGCAGGUAUGAAGGAUCUCAGCAGGUAUGAAGGCUUUCAGUAGUCUGUACCUGUAUCUCAGAGGCAGAGCACAACAUUUAUCAGCUUCAGAAAAGCCUAAAUAAAAGUGCAAGGCUAAACAGGCAGGCAACUCUAAAUGAGUCGGCUGGAAAAAUUCAAUCUGGGGCAGGAGCCAGGCGGUUUUAUCCGGAAGGAUCCUGCGGGAGCUCUGUGUGGAGCGGGGUGCAGUGUUCAGGUGGCAGAGCACUAAAAUACUCCCCACAUCUGGCGCUCAGGUACCCACACCUGGCGCUCAGGUAACCCACACCUGGCGCUCAGGUACCCACACCUGGCGGUGUGCGCGGCGUUGAGCACGGCGGAGCAACAGGGAACAGGUAACGGCAGUACCGAGCGGCGGAGAGGCGGGGUGCGGCCGGAUGAGUCAUCCUCCGGCUCGUUCUCCACAUACGGACGAGCGCGCGUGUGGCGCACAGCUACUGAAGCCCGCGCUGCAGGCCUUGAGCUCUUAGGUCCAGCAGUUAAGGGCUCCAGCAGUUCUGUGAUGGUCUGCGGUUCAUUUUCCCUGAGCGGAUUGAGUGCAGUGAUCCCCUUAGAAGCCAAGGUCAGCGCUAACGAGCUGCUAGCUACGUGAUCACCUGCAGCUCAGGGUGCAGCACUGUGGUAAUGCUUGAGUAAAACAUUCUCACUUUCUCUCAGAAAACAGGAGAGAGUGGAGAGAGUGGGUAGUUUAUUCUUUAUAAACUGGAAAAGUAUUGUUUCUUUUGACAGUUAUUUAGUGAGGGAAAAAAAGUCAGCCUUCAAUUUAUUCGGGAUUUUUCUGAUUGCAAAAAUGCUGCAAAAAUCGGUUUGAGGAACAAGAAACUGGCCGACCGCACAGCAAUGUGAUUCUCACCUGCAGGGGCAGGGCCACGGGAAGAUCUCACAUUGGGCCCCACCACCCCUGUCAGUUAGAGCCCUUGGAAUCACCCUAACUCUCCCCUCUCGUCCACAACCCCCCCCAGCCCCCCGGCCCCCCUGCUCACCUGGCUUGUACUCGUUCAGGUUGAAGGUACUCAGCUUAAAGAGUGAUGUUGGGAGGAGGAGCUUUUUUUGGGUAGAGGUUUUUUUCCUCCGUGCUACAGAGCCAUGGCCUCACAUUCAGAGGAGAAAAUGAAAUGUUGGGUUUACCCCCCCCCAACCCCCAUAAUGGAAAUGAUCCUGCUGAUUUUGCUGAGCAUUGCUGAGCAGGUUUGACCCCGUCCUCAUUGGGCGUAUUAAGAAGUAUGGCAAUGAGGCCGGAGGAAGGCUCUCGUCCUCAUCCUCCUCUGCUUGAGAGGAGCUCCUGGCUUUAAUGGGGCCGAGCGCUCAAGCAGAAAUAACACUGCAGGUGCAAAAGCCAGCGUUUCUUUUUCACGUUUGAUUCUGCUGCAGAUUUAACACGCUUUGAUCAGCUUACUUUCCUCGUUUGUUACGUUUCAGUCCGAACAUUAAAUAUCAUAAUUAUAUAUUUUUACCCAUAUUUAGUCAUACUGGUGAGUCUCUCCUAAAAACUAAGGGGAGAGGUAGUUGUUAAGAAGAGCGGCAGAAAUGGAGAUGACGAUGGAGGAUUCCUGGACAAUCCGUCAGUCCUCCACUACCUCCUUUUGUCUUCCUCCUCUACGCUUGGCUUAUUUCCCGUGCUGCUUCUAACCCGCAAAUUGCUCUCCACAUUCACAUCCUCUCUGCUCCCCCCUCCCAGCAGGCACUGUGCUGCAGGGUACAAUGUUAGUGUCCUACCUGAGAAUCAAACCUGCGGCCUUCGGGUUACAGGCCCAGAUCCCUGACCAUUAUACCACACUGCCACCCAUCCCAGUGGACCGGACGCCCAUCUCUCAUCUUUACCCAAAACUAUUGGGUGCACAGCCUCCAAACAACAGCUUCUCUGUCUCCUACGCAACGACCUGAACCCACAGCCAGUCGGGUUCCAGGUCUGACCGCUCCACCGGGACUGCAGUUUCAACGGUCACAGUCGGAGCGGCUCGGUCAAAAGGCUUGCACGGUUUGCGCCAGACCUCGCUGACCGAGCCGUCCCGUUGGCCUGGGGGGGCUCUGAUUCCCCCCCUCGCUCUUGACCCCUGUCCCCCCUUGCUUCUCUUCUCUCUU
Molecule: long non-coding RNA, 2821 nt
Organism: Anguilla rostrata (American eel)
Lineage: Eukaryota; Metazoa; Chordata; Actinopteri; Anguilliformes; Anguillidae
Exons: 4
Source: RefSeq, a predicted model, not a curated record